RNAcentral lists this ribosomal RNA (253 nucleotides) under uncultured bacterium. Its description in RNAcentral is "partial 16S ribosomal RNA". It matches the Rfam family "Bacterial small subunit ribosomal RNA", at positions 524 to 776 of the family's 1533-position model. The record is from RNAcentral.
UACAGAGGGUGCGAGCGUUAAUCGGAAUUACUGGGCGUAAAGCGUGCGUAGACGGUUAUUUAAGUCGGAUGUGAAAGCCCCGGGCUCAACCUGGGAAUUGCAUUCGAGACUGAAUAGCUAGGGUACGGUAGAGGGAAGCGGAAUUCCUGGUGUAGCGGUGAAAUGCGUAGAUAUCGGGAGGAACACCAGUGGCGAAGGCGACUUCCUGGCCUGUUCUUGACGCUGAGGCGCGAAAGCUAGGGGAGCAAACGGG